RNAcentral lists this unclassified non-coding RNA (433 nucleotides) under soil metagenome. Its description in RNAcentral is "partial contains 5.8S ribosomal RNA, internal transcribed spacer 2, and large subunit ribosomal RNA". The stretch from base 1 to 120 matches the Rfam family "5.8S ribosomal RNA", at positions 35 to 154 of the family's 154-position model. The record is from RNAcentral.
GAUGAAGAACGCAACGAAAUGCGAUACGUAAUGUGAAUUGCAGAAUUCAGUGAAUCAUCGAAUCUUUGAACGCAUAUUGCGCUCUCUGGUAUUCCGGAGAGCAUGCUUGUUUGAGUAUCAGUAAACACCUCAACUUCCAUAUCUUUUUUGAAAUGGGAGUUGGACUUGAGUGAUCCCAACGCUUUUCCUCACCGAAAAGUGGCGGGUUACUUGAAAUGCAGGUGCAGCUGGACUUUUCUCUGAGCUAUAAGCAUAUCUAUUUAGUCUGCCUAAAAAACAGAUUAUUACCUUUGCUGCAGCUAACAUAAAGGAGAUUAGUUCUUGUGCUGACUGAUGCAGGAUUCACAAAGACAGGCUUCGGCCGACUUUGUAAACUCGAUCUCAAAUCAAGUAAGACUACCCGCUGAACUUAAGCAUAUCAAUAAGCGGAGGA